This 406-nucleotide ribosomal RNA is filed under the name uncultured bacterium. RNAcentral describes it as "partial 16S ribosomal RNA". It matches the Rfam family "Bacterial small subunit ribosomal RNA", at positions 30 to 526 of the family's 1533-position model. The record is from RNAcentral.
AUUGAACGCUGGCGGCAGGCCUAACACAUGCAAGUCGAACGAGUGGCGGACGGGUGAGUAAUGUCUGGGAAACUGCCCGAUGGAGGGGGAUAACUACUGGAAACGGUAGCUAAUACCGCAUACCAUCGGAUGUGCCCAGAUGGGAUUAGGUAGUGGGUGGGGUAAUGGCUCACCUAGGCGACGAUCCCUAGCUGGUCUGAGAGGACGACCAGCAACACCGGAACUGAGACAGGGUCCAGACUACUACGGUAGGAACAAGUGGGGAUUAUUGCACAAUGGGCGCAAGCCUGAUGCAGCCAUGGCGGGUGUAUUAUGAAGGCCGUCGGGUUGUAAAGUACUUGCAGCGAGGAGGCGUUACUCGCAGAAGAAGCACCGGCUAACUCCGUGCCAGCAGCCGCGGUAAUUC